AUCGAACGCUGGCGGCGUGGCUAAGGCAUGCAAGCCGAGCGGACUUGGCUGAGGGGUAACCCAAGGCCUAGUUAGCGGCGAACGGGUGAGGAAUACGUGGACAACGUGCCCUGAACACGGGAAUAGCGGCGGGGGGCAGCCCCCUUUGCGAAAGCGCCGGUAAUACCCGAUGACCCCACGAAAUCGCAUGGUUUUGUGGGCAAAUGCUCCGGCGGUUUGGGAUCGGUUCACGUCCUAUCAGCUAGUUGGUGAGGUAACGGCUCACCAAGGCGACGACGGGUAGCGGGCGUGAGAGCGUGACCCGCCACAUCGGGACUGAGACACGGCCCGGACACCUACGGGUGGCUGCAGCAACGAAUAUUCCGCAAUGGACGCAAGUCUGACGGAGCGACGCCGCGUGUAGGAUGAAGUCCUUCGGGAUGUAAACUACUGUCAGGGGUGAGGAAACAAAUGACCAGCCCCAGAGGAAGCACCGGCUAACUCCGUGCCAGCAGCCGCGG
RNAcentral lists this ribosomal RNA (500 nucleotides) under uncultured bacterium. RNAcentral describes it as "bacterial SSU rRNA". It matches the Rfam family "Bacterial small subunit ribosomal RNA", at positions 28 to 520 of the family's 1533-position model. The record is from RNAcentral.